UGCAGUUCUUGUUGCUGCCGCUCAAAGUUGCAUAAUGUCACUUUGAAAGUGUCGCAGGGCAAAGGACAUGCGAGCACCCACAGGACAUGCAGACAUCUUAAAGCUGCGAUAAGCCGGCAACGAUUUUUAUGAAAUUCCUAAGACGGCAGUCUCCAUUCGCUGUUUGCUUACAUCGCACCCUGUUCCUUUUUACUUUUGGCUCUUAGUCAACAUCCUUUUUUAAUGUGACUGUGUAUGCCCGAAGGAUUUGUGCGUAAUGAAAAACUGUCACGAAGGGCGAAGGAUGAGCCUAAGCCAUUUCGCAGGUAUGUGUGGAGAAAUUGAAAAGCGCUAGUCGAGAUCCGGGGGAGCAUUAAACUGGCAAAUUUGUGACCAGGACUCGGGCCAGGACAUUUAUGGCCGACAGACGGCGACGACAGCGACAUAAAAACGGCGACGCCUGCGUGAUAAGCGCAUAAAUCAGUCGAAGGACGAAGAAAUCCCUUACCCCAAAGCCUCGGACUCAACCCAAGACGUAACUCCCCAUGUAGAAGAUACUUUUUAAUUUCAGUUUAUAUCUCGCUGCAAUGUGGAGUUACUCGGGUAAUUCGCUUCCCAGUUAAUUUUGUUUUCAUUUAGCCUAAGACUCCUGAAAGUUCACAGAAAAUUAACUUUCUUGCUUACAAACUAAAGUCUCACAAUUAAUUACCACAAUUUUCUAAGACUGAUAAAUUAAUUUACUCUUAUCAACUUUUUGGAUGUUAAGACUUGCAAUUAAUUAACAAAGUUUUGAUUUAACUGAUUGUUUGAAUUCACCUUAUCAUCGUCACUCUAAACGUUAUCUCAUUCUCUUAUCACAUUCAAAGAACAAUAAAUCAUUCAAGCUACACAAAUAAUAGAUAAAGCUACAACUAUAAGAAAAUUUAAUUAUUAUUCAACGUCAAGGGUUUGCUGGACACAUGCCAAAAUGUUAUAAACAAUAUAUCACACCUGCUGAUUUCCUGUAGUGACAAACCUACAAGCCUCUUCACCAGCAGCAGCAAUCACUUUUCCAACGAAUCAUAUGCGCAAUGAUCAAAACGCGAGCUGAAUCCCUUAUACCCAAAGGACAACGGCGAAGGACAUUCUGGUAAGCUCAUUGCUUAUGCUCGAACACGAAGCAAAUUCAAAUUACAAAUUAUGUUUUCGUCAUUGACCCAAGUUUUACGAGAGUAGCCCCUCCCUUGGAACACCCCACAGCAUCCGAUGGUCAAUGUCCGCGCGGUGUCAACUAUUUAGUUUCCGGUUUUAACUUGCGCCAUAAACCGGGCGUUAUGUGUCCGCUUUUAUGGCUUCUAGCGACGUCCCGUCUUCAUUGUUUCUUAAUAAUCCGACGAGCGUCUUCGGAGUGCACACGUCCUCGCAUUAAGGAUGUUUAUGGGCCAGACACUGUUUCCACCGGGAGCUGGUGAUUCUGGGGGUGGUGACCCCGACUUCUACCCGGCUAGUUGCAUGCCGCACAUACUUACGCUGCGCUGCAGUCAUAAAUGCGCUUAAUUGGCAAUUUUUGUGUGAGCGUGUUGAAAUUUUUACACCCCACCCGACUCGACCGAAAGUUGCAGUCAUAAAUAGGAAAUAUGUUCCUGGAGUGCCGGCAAGUCCGUUGGCCAAGUGGGGGUAUUGGUUUUUAUGGGUCAUGCAUGAAUUUGCCGGGAUUUAUAUGCGGACUACAUGACCUGGAUUCUUAUGGCGCACAACCAGUGCCAUUCCUUUGGCUAAUCAAAAGAUAUUUCGGGAGCCGAAUGAAAUGAAUAUGGCUCGACCACAAAUGAACAUUAUCUUUUUAAUACACGAAACGAUUUACUUUAUUAUUCAUAAACAUUAUAGCUCUGCAAUAAUAUUUCCCCACAAACGGUGAGAAUAUAAAAAUUACCUGUAUUGCUCACAAAUAAUUUGGAAUAAUUUUGUUAAUUUCUAAAAGCUUGUUACAUGACCGGCAAAAUAUAUUGAUGUGUUGUCUAUGAUAUAAAAAGCAAAUGGAUGAGUAGCCAAAAAAUAUUUCACCCCAUUAAAGGUGUGUGUCAAACUACCAUUGCCUGAAAUAAAAAAAAAAUAAUAGAACAGUGUCUUUCAGGAUUUUUAGAUAAUUAAAUUUACCAACAUCUGUACUUGGCGUACCAAUGCCCUGCUCCUGAAACUCAAAGGUGACUACAUGAAUAACUCCGUCAAUCCGAAAGUUGGUAUUCCUGUGAAGCAACGUUGAAAAUGACUUGCUGGGCUUAAAUAUAUCCUUGAUGCCCAUCUUUUCAAAAGCUGGAGAGAGUUCUAGAUCACUGUGUAUCUUAAAUUUCGGUAUACCCACAAACACAUCCAUCAUAGUGAGGUUCCUGGCAACGCUUAAGAUAUUCAUGGCCUGCAGCUUCAUUUGCAAGGCAGCAAGUCCAUCAGGCUGAUCGGGCUUUAUCAAGAGCAUUCGGAGAUCUCCAUGGGAAAAAGGCACCAGGACGGCGGUGGCUUUAAGAUUCCCUAGGAUGCCAAAUGCAAACUUACUAUCCUCGUGCAUCAUGGGUAUCAUAACGCUCUUUGUGGCAUUUACUCGAAACUCCCGGGGAUAUGUGGCCUCCGGAUUGAAUGUCCGCUCCCAACUCAAAUUGAAGAAAAUGGCAUUUACGAGAAGUCCUUGGCUGUUCGGUUUCCACCAGCUUUCUUUUACCACCUGCCCAAUUUGCUCGCCCAUUUCAUGGCUGUAAAAUGUAUUAACCUCGUCUAGCUGUUCACGAGCAAAGGCGAUAUUACGAGCUCUUCCCUCUGUAUGCCGCAUAAAAACUCUAUAUUCCGUGGACAUUUUCAUAUUCUGACGUACAUAGAAUCGGGUAAGACUCUUGGCCACAGGUGCCUUCUUCACACUCAUGGCAAAGAUUUUCUGUGUUUUCGGCUUGUAUUCAGAUAGAUGGGUUCCUCGAUAGUGCAUAGCCUUUCGAAUUUGCUCGGAUUCAUCUUCCUCCACGCCCACAUAGAUGAACAGCAUGCUGGAUCGUAUCAUCUCCGUCGAGAACAUAAUGUUCCUGUUCGAAAAGCUGUUCACGAUGGCUGCGUAAAGUUCAUCUGGCAAUUGUGAAUUUUUCUGAGCCCUGUAGCGUGAGAUUCCUAAAAGGAUUAGCAGUAGCACGUACAUUAUUUAUAAUAUUACUUAAUACUACUGUUAAUUUGUUAAGCUAAGAUGCCCACAAUUUCAAGCGUGUAAUUGAAAACUCUUUGCGUAAAAAUUGCAAUUCUAGAGGUGAUACAUGAGCCAAUUACUGAUGGUAAUAUCGAUAUAUUGAAUUAAUUUUUACAUACUUUAUAAACACCACAUUAACUUGCAGUAUUGUGAAAAUUAGAACAAUAUAAAUUACUCCUUGUAGGCCAAAGUUCAGAUUGAUCACGCUUCUAGUGGCGUGCAAGUCAAGUGGCCAAUAAAUCUCCAAUAUCAACCAAUAUCUGAGGAAUGCAUUGUCUUGAUGUUUACUUAUGUCGAACUAAUUAUAAUUAGCCACCAGUCAAUAGGUCUGCGCCGAGCUAAGAUAACACGCCUUAAUCGCGAU
This is a non-coding RNA of Drosophila melanogaster (fruit fly), 3542 nucleotides long. Lineage: Eukaryota; Metazoa; Arthropoda; Insecta; Diptera; Drosophilidae. The record is from Ensembl.